Molecule: long non-coding RNA, 808 nt
Organism: Ooceraea biroi (clonal raider ant)
Lineage: Eukaryota; Metazoa; Arthropoda; Insecta; Hymenoptera; Formicidae
Source: RefSeq, a predicted model, not a curated record
GGAAAUUGUUGAAACUAAUGAAGUAUCGAAUAAAAGGUUAAAUUGCGUUUAAUCAAAUAACCGUACAUACAGCUGCAUUGAGCUGCAUACAGCGCACAAUGCGAUAAAGGACAGUGCAAGUGUCAUCCAUCGAUCAUAUUAAUAAGCAUUACACUUAUCCAGCAUCCACGAGAAAAAUGUGGAUUUAUUCCAUACUUGUCCUUCUUGGCGUAUUUGACCUCGCGGCUGCUUCCAACGGUUUCGAUUUUGGCGAUACCCUAGCGUUAAUUCUGGGCUUAAUGAUCGGUAUUAUUGGAUUUUUCGCUUGUAUGGGAGCUUAUGCAAGGAAACGAAAUCGCUUCGAAUCGUUAUAAUGGAACUUCUUCAAAUACACAUAUAUUAUAGUAUUAGUACACAACAAUAUAUACUGACCUAUUAUAAUUAUAAAAUAUGGAAGAUAUAAUCUUUGAAGGAAAAUAGUAGAUAUAUAAGAAAAGAGUGCAAUUUGAUAUUUUUUAUACAUAAAGAUAAAGAAACAAGAUAUUGAUUAAAAUGUAUUAUAAUAAUUUCAUUACAUUUAUAUAUGAUACUCAUUGUUAAAAUAAAGAAAAUAGUAACUGAACUCUAUUAUCUUAGGUUAUUUCUUUUUAUGAAUUUACAGUUGCCCAAGCUAUUAUAGUAAAACUAUCACAUCAUUAUAUAAUAGUGUACAAUAAUGUUAAUUGAACUUUUGAUGACACUGACGAGUUUGAUAACUAAAAUGUAUUAACAUGUCUUUCUGUCUUAAUAAUGGCAGUAUAAAAUUUUCUAAAGUCUUUGAAAAAAAAAA